UGAGUAAGCGAGACGGCUGCGCGAGUUUUUGACUCGUGAGGAAAGUCCGGGCUCCGUAGAGCAAGGAUGCCGGAUAACGUCCGGCGGGGGCAACCCUAGGGAAAGUGCAACAGAAACAUACCGCCGAACCAAGCUUGUCUAUUUGGUGUUUUGACCGGAGAUGGCAAGCGCAGGAUUUUUUGGUCAUAUGGGGUGCAGAGGGAAAGCGUGACGACGAAGUGUAUAUAAAUACACGAGGAGAAGCGAUUGACCGAUAAGCCACAUAUGGGCAAAAAAGACAAGCUUGGUGGUAAGGUUGAAAUGGCGAGGUAAGAGCUCACCGGAGGCAUGGAGACAUGUCUGCCGUGUAAACCCCAUUCGGAGCAAGACCAAGAUAGGGCAGGGGCAGUAAUGCCCCAAGUGUGCGGCUGCUCGUCGCCGUCCGGUAGGUAGGUCGCAGGUGGAUGCGAGAGCAUCCCGGAGGUCGUCAGCAAUGGCGAUCCCAGAUAGAUGGUCGUCACCUCUCGCAAUGCGGGAGGAUACAGAACCCGGCUUAUUGCUUGCUCAUAUG
RNAcentral lists this RNase P RNA (550 nucleotides) under Eubacteriales Family XIII. Incertae Sedis bacterium. RNAcentral's name for it is "RNase P RNA component class A". It matches the Rfam family "Bacterial RNase P class A". From Rfam's summary of the family: Ribonuclease P (RNase P) is a ubiquitous endoribonuclease, found in archaea, bacteria and eukarya as well as chloroplasts and mitochondria. Its best characterised activity is the generation of mature 5'-ends of tRNAs by cleaving the 5'-leader elements of precursor-tRNAs. Cellular RNase Ps are ribonucleoproteins. The record is from RNAcentral. Lineage: Bacteria; Bacillati; Bacillota; Clostridia; Peptostreptococcales; Anaerovoracaceae.